CCACCUGGCAUAUAACAGUACAAGAAUGUCAACCUAACACUCCCAAAAUAUGGAACCCCAUGAAUCACAGGCUAAUAAUUUAUAAAAAUCUUUAACUCCAGAAAUAUCUAUCAACAAGGAAAAUACAGAAGGGCUAUGCUAGUACUGAGAAUAGAAAUGCACUCUUCGGUCUACGGACGCGGAAGAUAUACCUCGAAGUCUCUAUGAAAGCGCCUCGCCUCAAGUGUGAUAAGACAGAAUGGAAGUACCUAGAUCUGCACAUGAAAAACAUGAGUAGAAAGGUCAUGAAUACACCAUAGCGGUACUUAGUAAGUGCCAAACCUAACCUCGGUCGGGUAGUGACGAGGAAAGUCAGGGCCCUACAGAGAUAGUAUAGAACAAGGCAGUAAAAAUUAAGUGCAACAGUAAGAAAUAACAUAGAAUAGAAAGAACAACAACAACUAUAACAAAGAAAAAAUAAUCAUGGAAAGGAGUACGGCUCAACACAAAGAUAUCAUCCGGGGAUCUCUCAGUAUCUCGAGGAUCUCUUAGUAUCCUCAAUAUGUGUGUCGGGGAUCUCUCAGUAUCCCGAUGAUCUCUUAGUAUCCUCAAAUGUAUACUGGGGAUCGCUCGGUAUCCCAAGGAUCUCUUAGUAUCCUCAAUGUGUGUUGGGGAUCUCUUGGUAUCCCGCACUAUAGUCCAAAUCGAUAUAUAUGUGCAUGGGAAUCUCCCAGGAUACCGUCUCGUAGUUCCAAAGUAAAAACGCAACAAAAACACGUAGAAUACUCAAUUAAAUUCAGUUUCACACCAAGGUAAAACAAAUAUUUCUAACCUAACAUGGUUCACAUAGUCAAAAUAAUGCAGUUUGAACAAAUAAAAACAAUUAAGGCAAUUAGACAUGAUUCUCUAAGCUAACAUCAGGAUUGAUUGCAAGUAAAAUAAAUAGGAAGGGAAGACACAAUUAAAGUUACUCAGUGAAAACAUGAUUUUCAACAAUUAGCACAAGUACGCACUUGUCACCUCAUGUACAAGGCAUUUCAAAUAUCAGCAAUACCAAAUCCUAAGGGGAGUUCCUCCGCACAAGGUUAGGCAAGCCACUUACCUUGAACCGGCUCAAAAUCAACUCGAAACCACAUUCUUGCCACAAGUACUUGACUCCAAAUGACCCAAAUAUAUUCAAUUCAAUUGCAUAAUGUAAAUAACACUUCAAGUAAUUUAUUUUACAAAUACAUUCUAAGCUAAUAUGCGAAAUUAGGUAAAAUAACCAAAACGCCCUCGGACCCAUGUCUCGUAAUCGGGUAAAAUUUACGUUUCAGAAUCCUCAUACUCUUACAAGUCUAACCAUAUCAAAAUUAUCCAAAUCCAAUGUCUAAUUCCCAAGCAAAACUUGAAAUUUAGGUCUAAGAACUUUCUCCAAAUUUCCCCAAUUUCUCACCCCAAAUCCAAAAUUAGAUGGUGAAUUCAUGUUUAGAUUAAUGGGUUAUAAGCAAAAAGUAGUUAAGAAUCAUUACCCGCAAACUUUCUCCGAAAAUCUUCCCAAAAUUCGUGUCCCACCGAGCUCCCCAAUUCAAUUUUGUGAUAUGAACUCAAAACCCUCGAUUUUGAAAUUUAAGUUCUGCCCAGACGUGUUCUUAUUCGCAAAUGUGAGACUACUAUUGCGAACGCAAUACACAAAAAUCCUACUGUCCAACCUCCUCUUUCGCGAACGUGAGGGUCCACUCGCUAACGCGUAGCUUCAACUCCAAGACCUUCGCGAACGCGACUCAAUACUCGCAAACACGUAGAGAAAUUCCAUGGGGUCCCCAACUGCUCCACCUUUCCUCUUCGCGAAUGCGCUCCGCUUCUCGCGUUCGCGAUACUUCCCCUGGCCAGCCUUCGUGAACGCAAUCUCCCCUUCGCGAACGCGAAGGCCAAAAUUCUGCAACAUAAAAACUAGCAAAUCUAUUGCACACCUAAGUCCAAAAAAUGACCCGUUGAGCAUCCGAAAUACACCCGAGGCCUCUAGGACCUCAACCAAACAUGCCAACCAAUCCUAAAACAUCAAUCAAACUUGUUCUAAUCUUUGGAACGCUAAAAACAACACCAAAAUACCAAUUUAACAUCGGAUUCAAGCCCAAGAACUCCAAAAAUUCUCGAAUUACUCUUUCGAUCAAAAAGUCUAUCAAACCUCGUCCGAAUGACCUGAAAUUCUGCAAGCACGCCACAUUCAACACUAAAGAGCUACUCCAACUUCCAGAAUUCCAUUCUGACCCCGAUAUCAAAAUCUCACUAUCGAACCGGAAACUUUAAAAAUUCAAAUUUCGGCAAUUCAAGCCUAAAUAAACUACGGACCUAUAAAACACAAUCCGAACACGCCCCUAAGCCCGAAAUCACCCAACAGAGCUAAUAAAACCGACAUAAUUCCAUUCCGAGGCCGUUUUCACACUACUCCGACUACGGUCCAAAUUCUAAAGCUUAAGCUCUCAUUUAGGGACUAAGUGUCCCAAAACACUCCGAAACUCAAAACCAAACAUCCUGGUGAAUCAAAAUAGCAGAACCAAACAUGGGAAAGUAGUUAAUAGGGGAUCAGGGCGUAAAUUCUUAAAAUGACCGGCCGGGUCGUUACAUCCUCCUACACUUAAACAUUUAUCCAUCGUCGAAUGAGCAUAGAGACAUACCUGAAUUAGUGAAUAAAUGAGGGUAACGGUUGUGCAUAUCCUGCUCGGUCUCUCAGGUCGCCUCCUCGAUCGACUGACCCCUCCACUGAACCUUUACUGAUGCAAUAUUCUUUGACCUCAGCUUUCGAACUUGCCUGUCCAGUAUUGCCACUGGCUCCUCAACAUAAUAUAGAUCCUUGUCCAACUGAACUGAGCUGAAAUCUAACACGUGCGACAAAUCACCGUGAUACCUCUGGAGAAUCGAAACAUGAAAUACCGGAUGAAUUCCUGCCAAGCUGGGAGGUAAGGCAAGCUCAUAAGCAACCUCCCCAACAUGCCACAAUAUCUCAAAAGGACCAAUAAACCUUGGACUCAACUUCCCUUUCUUCCCGAAUCUCAAAACGCCCUUCAUAGGCAAAACCCGAAGUUGAACCCGCUCUCCAACCAUAUAGGAAAACAUCACGAACCUUCCAGUCCACGUAACUCUUCUGUCUAGACUGGGCUGUACAGAGCCUAUCCUGAAUCACCUUAACCUUUUCCAAAGCAUCCUGAGCUAAGUUUGUGCCCAAUAAUCUAGCCUCACCCGGCUCAAACCGACCCACCGGGGAUCUAUAUCGCCUACCAUAUAAAGCCUCAUACGGUGCCAUCUAAAUGCUGGACUGAUAGUUGUUGUUGUAGGCAAACACCGCCAAUGGCAAGAACUGAUCCCAAGACCCUUCAAACUCAAUCACACACGCAUAGAGAAUAUCCUCACGAAUCUGAAUAGUGCGCUCAGACUGUCCGUCCGUUUGAGGGUGAAAUGUUGUACUCUACUCCACCCGAGUACCCAACCCAUGUUGUACGACCCUCCAAAAUUGUGAUGUGAACUGAGUACCUCUAUCUGAAAUGAUGGAAACUGGAAUACCACGUAGACGAAAAAUCUUCCAGUUAUAAAUCUCCGCCAAACGCUCCAAAGAAUAGGUCGUAAACACAGUAAUGAAAUAUGCGGACUUGGUCAGCCGAUCCAAAAUCACCCAAAUGGCGUCGAACUUCCUCAAAGUCCGUGGGAGCCCAACUACAAAGUCCAUAGUGAUUCGCUCCCACUUCCAUUUCGGAAUCUCUAUCUGCUGAAGCAACCCACCCGGUCUCUGGUACUCAUACUUCACCUGCUGAAAAUUGAGGCAUCUAGCUACAAACCCAACUAUAUCUUUCUUCAUCCGCCUCCACCAAUAGUGUUGUCUCAAAUCCUGGUACAUCUUUACGGUACCCGGAUGAAUGGAAUACCGCGAACUAUGGGAUUUCUCUAGAAUCAACUCCCGAAGCCCAUCCACAUUGGGUACAUAAAUCCGACCCUGCAUCCUCAAUACCCCAUCAUCUCCAAUAGUCACAUCUCUAGCAUCACCGUGCUGAACCUUGUCCUUGAGGACAAGAAAAUGGGGGUCAUCCAACUGACGUUCCCUGACACGAUCAAAUAAGGAAGACCAAUAAACCAUGCAGGCUAGAACCCAAUUGGGAUCCGAAAGAUCCAAUCUCACAAACUGGUUGGCUAAGGCUUGAACAUCCAUCACCAUGGGCCUCUCCACCGCUGGUAAAUAAGCCAAACUCCCCAAACUCUCUGCCCAACGACUCAAGGCAUCAACCACCACAUUGUCCUUGUCCGGGUGAUACCAAUUAGUGAUAUCAUAUUCCUUCAUCAACUCUAACCACCUCCUCUGGUGCAGAUUAGGAUCCUUUUGCUUGAACAGGUGCUGCAAGAUCCAAGGAUCAAUAUAAAUCUCACAAGGAACACCACACAAAUAAUGACGCCAGAUCUUCAAGGAAUGAACAAUAGCAGCUAACCCGAGAUCAUGGACAAGAUAAUUCUUCUCACAUACCUUCAACUGUCUGGAUGCGUAGGCUAUUAGCCUACCGUCCUGCAUCAAUACCGUUCCAAGGCCAAUCCUCGAGGCAUCACAAUAGACAGUGUAAGAGCCCAAACCUGUAGGCAAUAUCAAAAUUAGGGCUGUAGUCAAAGAUUUCUUGAGCUUCUAAAAGCUUGCCUCACACUGUUCCGUCCACUAGAACGGAGCACCCUUCCGGGUCAGCCUGGUCAAAGGGGCUGCAAUCGAUGAAAACCCCUCAACAAAAUGACAGUACCAACCCGCCAAACCAAGAAAACUGCGGAUCUCGGUAGCUGAGGAUGGUCUGGGCCAAAUAUGCACUGCUUCCACUUUAUUUGAAUCCACAUGAAUACCAUCACUCGAUACAAUAUGGCCUAAGAAUGCCACGGAAUCCAACCAAAACUCACAUUUCGAGAACUUUGCAUAUAACUUCUUUUCCCUUAAAGUCUGAAGCACAGUCCUCAGGUGCUGCUCAUGAUCUUCCUGACUCCGGGAAUACACCAAAAUAUCAUCAAUAAAAACAAUGACGAACGAGUCAAGAUAAGGCCGAAACACACUGUGCAUCAAAUGCAUAAAGGUUGCUGGGGCAUUGGUCAGCCCAAAUGACAUAACAAGGAACUCAUAAUGACCAUACCGAGUCUUGAAAGCAGUCUUUAGGAUAUCUGGCUCCCGAAUAUUCAACUGAUGGUAACCUAAGAGCAAGUAAAUCUUAGAAAACACUCACACGCCCUGAAGCUGGCCAAACAAAUCAUCAAUACAGGGCAAAGGAUAAUGGUUCUUCACUGUAACUUUGUUCAACUGGCGAUAAUCAAUGCACAUAUGCAUAGAACCAUCCUUCUUAUUUACAAAUAAGACAGGAGCACCCCAAGGUGAUACACUAGGCCGAAUAAAACCCUUAUCAAGCAAUUCCUAUAACUGAUCCUUCAACUCCUUCAAUUCAGGAGGGGCCAUACGAUACGGAGGAAUAGAAAUGGGCUGAGUGCCUGGCAAUAGAUUAAUGCCAAUAUCAAUAUCUCUAUUGGGCGACAUGCCCGGAAGGUUAGAUGGAAACACAACAGGAAAAUCAUGUACUACUAGAACUGAAUCAACUGUAGGGGUAUCAAUACUGAAAUCUAUCACAUAAUCUAGAUACGCAUCACACCCCUUCUCAACCAUACACUGAGCCUUAAGGAAUGAAAUAACUCUACUGGAAGUAUGAUCUAAGGUACCUCUCCACUCUACGGACAGUAUACCUAGCGAAACCAACGUUAAAGUUUUGGCUGACAAUCAAUAAUAGCAUAAUGGGGCGACAACCAGUCCAUGCCCAUGAUAAUAUCAAAAUCUACCAUGUUGAGCAUAACAAAUCGGCUCUGGUCUCGAAACUAGUAAGAGCAACCAUACAAGACCGAUAAACGUGGUCCACAAAAAGAGAAUCUCCCAUAGGAGUAAAAACAUAAAUAGGAGAACUCAAAGAAUCUCGAGAUACACCUAAAUACAGAGCAAAAUAAGAAGACACAUAAGAAUAAGUGGAGCAUGGAUCGAAUAAAACCGAUGUAUCUCUAUGAUAAACCAAGACAAUACCUGUGAUGACAGAAUUAGAGGCGAUAGCUUCGGUACGGGCACGAAAGGCAUAAUAUCUGGCCUGGCCUCCCCCUCUAGGGAAACCUCUACCUCCCCGACCUCCACCUCUAGCUGGAUGAGCAGGUGGGAUAGCAGUUGGAGUUGUAAACCAUAGCCUGAGAAAUCUAUAGAGGUGCACUCCUCCCAAGUCUAGGGAAAUCCCUCACCACAUGGCGUGUGUCACCACACUCAAAACAAGCUCUGGGAGGACGUGGAGGCUAUGACUGGCUCGGACUAGGUCUGUUAGACUGUCCUCUGAAAGCACCUUGCGCAGGAGGCACACUAGAUACUGGCGGUGCAUAAUAAGGCUCCUAAGGCGUAGAAGGAGUUGGAAUAGAGAAGAGCUUAAUGAAUAGGGCGUCUCAUAUAACCCCUACCAUGAUGAACUGCAGCUGGCACACGAGUACCAGAAUAAUAGCCUGACUCUCGAGACCUCUUGGCCUCCCUCUCCUCCCUCUCCCUAGCAUGCAUACCCUCUAUCCAUCUAGGAAUGCUCACCACCUGUUGAUAAGAAAUAUCCAUCUCCAACUCACGAGCCAUAAUAGACUUGAUGCUGGGAAAAAGCCCCUCAAUAAAUCGGCGAACCCUCUCACGACAGUAAAAACCAAGGGUGGAGCAUGUCUAGCCAAGCUAGUGUAACAUAAAGCAUAAUCCGAAACAAUCAUAGUACCCUGACACAAAUGCUCAAACUCUGUGCGCCAUGUGUCCUUGAGUCUCUGUGGAACAAACUCCCUCUAGAACAUAUCUGAAAACUGAGUCCAAGUUAGUGAAGCUGCUUCAUCCAAACUGUCUAACUCAUAGGUACGCCACCACUCAUAGGCGGCUCCUCAAAGCUGGAAGGCAGUGAAAGAAACCCCACUCGAUCCUGAUAUACCCAUAGUGUGGGGGAUACGGUGACACUCCUCCAGAAAUCCCAAGGCAUUGUCUGAUGCUAACCUACUAAAUACAGAAGGAUCAUACUUCUUAAACCUCUCAAGCCUCCGCUGCUCAUCCUUUAAAGCCGAUGCCCUACCCUCGAGCUGAUCUGGGAUUGUAGGCGGUACAAAAAUAAUCUAUGAGACCUGAUCAACAUGCACUCGCUCCUCAAGAGUGUAGACGGUGGGAGUCUAUGCUCCUCCCCCGACCUGAGAUGUGGCGGCAGCAAGGGGAAGCAACCCUUCCUGAGCCAGAGUGGUGUACAUGCUCAUGAACUACGCAAGAGUCUCCUGAAGAGCUGAAGUGGUAGUAGCAGUAGGCGUAUCAGGUGCCAGGACUCCAGCUGGAACUGCUGAUGGUGCCUCAGUGAAAGCUUGCGCAGGUGCUCUGGCUGCACCACGUGCAUGUCCUUGGCCUCUACCCUAGCCCCAACCUCUGUCGGCUCCAGAAGGGGGCGUGGGUGCCUGAUCAUCUCUGGUAGCACGUGUCCUCACCAUCUAUGAGACAAUAGAAGACAGAAGUUUAGAAUUGUGAUGUCAAAAUUCACACGACAAGGGAAUCAUAUUAAGUGGAAUUUUCCUAACAGUUACAUAGCCUUUCGUAGAUAAGUAUAGAUGUCUCAGUACUGAUCCGCGAGACUCUAAUAAACUGGCUUGUGAUACAUGAAUCCUAUGAACCUAGAGCUUUGAUACCAACUUGUCACGACCCCAGUUCACCCUCCCUGAACUAUCGUGACGGCACCUAGUCUCUACGACUAGGUAAGCCUAACAAAUGCAGAAAAGAAACAAUUUCGAAAAGAAAAUAAUUAAAAACCGAGCUAACAAAAUGAAAUAGUGUGUAAGUUGCCGCCUGGCAUAUAACAGUACAAGAAUUUCAACCUAACAUUCCCAAAAUCUGAAACCCCAUGAAUCACAAGCUAAGAAUUUACAUAAAAAGAUCUAACUCCAGAAAUAUCUAUAAACAAGGAAAAUACAGAAGGGCUAUGCUAGUACUGAGAAUAAAAAUGGACUCUUCGGUCUGCGAACGCGACAGAUAUACCUCGAAGUCUCUACGAAAGUGCCUCGCUUCAAGUGUGAUAAGACUGAGUGGAAGUACCUAUAUCUGCACAUGAAAAACAUGCGUAGAAAGGGCAUGAGUACACCACAGCGGUACUUGUCACACCUUCUUUUUACUACCCUCGGAAGCUUAGUAUAAGGGAGUUUUUUCCAAUUUAAGUGACAAUCAAAACGGGAUUAUUUAUUAAAUUCAGAGUCGCCACUUGGGAUUAUUUAUGGUGUCCCAAGUCACUAGUUAAAAUCCCAAAUCAAGGAAGUUGACUCUAUCCGGUUUGUGAAGGUGUUAGGCAUUCUCGGGUUCCGUGGUUUUAGCACUGUCGCUUUAAUCAUACUUGGCUUAAUCAAAUUGACUAGUUACUCAUUUUAGAACCUAUGUGCGUUUGCCUAUUUUAAUUAAGGAAUUAUCUUAAAAUAGGUCACGCGCACGUGUACCCAUUUGUUUUGCGCGUAAAAAAUCAUGUCACGCAAACGUGUCCACAAUUAAUAACGCUUUGUUAUUAUUAAGAAAGUUUGGUCGAAGUUAUGCAAAUGCAUACCUCGAUUUACUUUGGAACCUAUAAUUAUGCCACUCAGAUGUCAAAAAUAUAUACUACUACGAAUCUAUAUAGUCAAAAAGACAAAUAAAAGUAAAAUGAAGUACAUCACAUUUCAACUAAUCAAACCAAUUAUUAUCAGUUGUAAAUGUCGAGGUCAUGAGCUACUGAUAUCUUACUAUUUCAUUGCCAUGCUACUUUAAUUUUGCAGUGUUAGCUUGUCACCUUUCUUCUCCAAAUAGUAAAUUCUUAAACCACAAGUCAGAGAAAAAUGGAUCUCCCACAACACAUUCAAACCAGAUUUCACUCCUAAGCCACUUCAACAUUUCCAGCAGACAAUAAAAUAAUAAUCAUUUAUAGAACCCAACCAAAAAUAUGACUUGUAACUAUAAUAAGAAUAGAGAUGGACCUUAGGAAGAAUUUUACUUUUGAGCUUUACAGUAGGUGAAUCCAAAAGCAAAUCAGAAACCACGUACGGGACCUUGAGGAAACGGAAUUUCAUCGGACACCAAAGCUCGGACCUCAAUGGAAAAUGGUCACCUAACGUCACUGGUUGUUGAAACAACUUAGUAACUCCAAGUAAAUACCAGAGAAGAGAUAUCGGCCAAUUUUGUGUGCGGCCGAUUUUUGAAGGUUAGAGAUCAUAGGCAUGUUCUUUGUGUGCUAGGUUUGUAGGUGUUCAAAAAUUAGGGAAGGCGGCUGGGAGAUGCUCUUCGAGAUUUAGGUAAUGGAGAUCGGCUGAUCGUUUGGAGAGGAGGGGUCUAGGUUUUUCGGUGUUUGUUCGCUGCUCAAAGUGUGGAGAAGAUCGAGCUCAACAACCGAGGGGUCUAUUGUGUAUUACGGCUGUUGCUGCUCUGCAUUCAAAGAUAUAAGAUCCUCUAUUCAUGUGGGUUUUGCUGGAGAUGAAGAGAAGGCGGGGGGUAAGAUAAAGAAGAAGUUGUUUAGGGGAGGUGGUUCUCUUAUAAAACGACUGAUAUGUCCCUUAGUCUUUUAGGGUCUAUUUUUUUGUGUAUUU
This 9591-nucleotide long non-coding RNA is filed under the name Nicotiana tabacum (common tobacco). RNAcentral's name for it is "long non-coding RNA (NTAB_LNC006897)". Lineage: Eukaryota; Viridiplantae; Streptophyta; Magnoliopsida; Solanales; Solanaceae. The record is from RNAcentral.